Long non-coding RNA from Catharus ustulatus (Swainson's thrush), 2262 nucleotides. RefSeq lists it as uncharacterized. The transcript has 4 exons. The record is from RefSeq and is a predicted model, not a curated record. Lineage: Eukaryota; Metazoa; Chordata; Aves; Passeriformes; Turdidae.
AUUUUGAGUCCCCUUCCUCAUCACUAAUGGAAUUCCUGCUAAACUCAAUUACUCCCACCCAAAGCUGAAUUAAUUUCCCUCUGUCACAAAGAUGGCAAAAUGCAUUCACUGAAUCCCAGAGACUCAGGAAUGACUGUUGCUUGAAGAAAAUGUUCCUGGAUUUUCUUAAAUGUGAUACUUUCUUGGCACCUGGAAAUGAUGACCUCCUGCAAUGACACUGUCAGAGGAUGGGUCUGGGGAGCAGCUCUGCAGUGCAGCCCUGAGGUCACAGCGGGCAAUCAGCUCAACACCACUGAGGUUAUACUGUGCUAAUGCAGUCCCUGUCACUCUGCAGAGUGGGCAGAAAGCUGCCUGCCUGAAUGGGGCAGCCAGCAGCAUUCCUCCAGACCUUGGGACGAGGGUGGGGUUUGAUCAGCCAAGGGAGAAAAAUGUCAACAUCUGUCUGUCACUGCACGGCCAAUGGCCAAUUAUAAUUUUUUUUCCUGCAUCCCUAAGCUGCAGCCAGACAAAGGCUCUGAGCUCCCAGCUUUGUUGCCCGUGCCAUUUCCCACCACCGCUCCACCUCUGAUAUGCUAAUGGCAAAACUGAACUGUUUUGUGUGGCUGAAAAGGAUCUUUGGGCACAUUCACUGGGUCAACAAUCCCAACUGCUGUGCUGGGGCUCAGCCUGCUGUGCCAGAACCUCGUGCCAGAGGACUUCCCUCCCCUCUGCUCCUCCUUUAAAAAAAAAAAACAACAAAACAUAUUGGAAUUAACCAUCUGGCUGUCUUGGUGCCCAGAAACUUAGCUGAGCAAUAAUAAUAUUAUAUACUCUCCUCAAAGACUUUUUGGAUGAUAAGUAGCAAGCCAGGCUGUGCUUUCCAGCUUGAAUUGCUGUCUCAGUAGAUGCAGCCUAGGAGGUGAGAGAAGUCCAUCUCCUCUGAGCUUCAGAGCAGCACAGAGCAGUGAGGUGGUUACAGAAAUACUGCUCUGUUUAUGCAGUCGGCUUUACAUGCGUUAGAGCAAAAGUAACACUGACAAACAGCCUUUUGUUUAGAAAAGAAACCCUGUCAUACAUGCAAUGCCAGACACAGAAAGCAAACUUGGUGACCUAAUCCUAUCUAUUGUGUGGCAAUACUAAUGCAUUUAAGUAGUAAGCAGAAGAAUCAUUACCGAGUUUAUUGGGUGAUGAGUUUCCCAUUCACUGAUGUUUUGGAAGUGCCAAGGGAAAUAGGCUGUAGCAUCAGAGACAAGGUGCUUGUAAGUCUGUGACAAAUUGAUCUUGAAGUAUUUAUAGUUUAGAAUUAGUCACCUGAACUAAGUGUGAAUGCUAUGAAUGUCAGUUCUUUUGCUGAUGCUGUAGUAAUACCAUCAUUGCUUUAUAAAAAAAUACUAGUGAGGUAGCAGGUUCUUGGUAAAAUUUGAAGUACUUUUACAAGUAAGCUAAUGUUUAUAAACACAGUAAUUAUGCCAUCAUUAUUUUAAAAAACUAUGAUAUGUACAAAUGUGUCAAUUUUCACUGCAAGCACCCUGUGAAAGUUGUUGGACGUAAGGCCCAAUGACAUGAAAUAAAAGCUAAAGAAAUUUAAAAGGUGGAUAAACAAAGCAGUCUGACAGUCUGAUGGCUUCCAGUUGACCCUGAGCAGAGACCUGGAUAAAGCUGGAUAAAUACUCCAGCCAAAAAAAAUGGUGAGAGUUGUAAGUGUUGUUUAUGAGACUACAAUUUAAUACAGUUUGCACGGUAAAUAGCGCUGUAAUAAAAGCUGACCUUUGCACAACUUGCAGGAUCUCCUUAAAACAUGCUUGCAAGCAGUGAGAGAAAUAGAUGGUGGACACAGAACCAACUCACAGUGAAUCCUCACACUUAAGUAUUCCCACACAGGAGAAUUAUCAAGAUGAACAUUUUCUUCUCAUUUUUAAAGAUGUUCAUAUGUGUCAGCUUUCCCCAUCAUGGUUGUGCUGGAAGGCGCUUAGGCAUCCUCAUCUGUGUCGUGGUCUUGCAGCUCUUUCUUGCCUAUUUACACUGGCUGCCAGCACUGUCCAUCCCCUGCAGAGUGUUCACCCAGACCCUGGGAAGUGCUGCUGGCGAUGGCUUCUGCUGCUUUCCAGGGAAGACUUUUAUAACAAGCAUGCACAGCAUGCAGGAGGAAGCAGAUGCAGGCUUGCUCUGCGCACUGCUCUCCAGUUCCCGGCAUAUGGUGGAUGGUUAAAAAAAAAUGGAUCUGAAUGGUGUGAAAAUCUAUUCAUCCUGUAUCACAGAGAAUAAAUUAUUUCUUUCUGGUCA